UUGUCAAACUGCAAUUACGUGACACUCAAAGCAGAAUUUUGGCUGAUUUGCCGACUUUGAGACUCAGAAAC
Molecule: long non-coding RNA, 71 nt
Organism: Etheostoma spectabile (orangethroat darter)
Lineage: Eukaryota; Metazoa; Chordata; Actinopteri; Perciformes; Percidae
Exons: 4
Source: RefSeq, a predicted model, not a curated record